RNAcentral lists this ribosomal RNA (1570 nucleotides) under metagenome. Its description in RNAcentral is "bacterial LSU rRNA". It matches the Rfam family "Bacterial large subunit ribosomal RNA", at positions 1216 to 2763 of the family's 2925-position model. The record is from RNAcentral.
UUUAAUUGAGUGGUAGGAGAGCGUUCUAUUCAGCGUUGAAGAUGUACCGGUAAGGAGCGUUGGAGCGGAUAGAAGUGAGCAUGCAGGCAUGAGUAGCGAUAAUUGAGGUGAGAAUCCUCAACGCCGAAAACCCAAGGUUUCCUACGCGAUGCUCGUCAUCGUAGGGUUAGUCGGGUCCUAAGUCGAGUCCGAAAGGGGUAGACGAUGGCAAAUUGAUUAAUACUUCAAUACCAACAUAUAAGCGCGAUGUGGGGACGCAUAGAGUUAGUCGAGCUCACUGAUGGAAUAGUGGGUCGAAGGACGUAGGCUGUUACUUAGGCAAAUCCGGGUAACGUUAGGCCGAGAUCUUACAGGCUCUUGACACUCUUCGGAGGAGAUGGAGAAUCGAUGAUACUGUCGUGCCAAGAAAAGCCACUAAGUAUAUUGUAUGUUGCCCGUACCGUAAACCGACACAGGUGGGUGGGAUGAGUAUUCUAAGGCGCGUGGAAGAACCCUGGUUAAGGAACUCUGCAAACUAGCACCGUAUCUUCGGUAUAAGGUGUGCCUACUUUGGUAUAGGAACUUGCUUCCAAAAGCUAGAGAGGUUGCAACAAAGAGUCCCUCCCGACUGUUUACCAAAAACACAGCACUUUGCUAACACGUAAGUGGAUGUAUAAGGUGUGACGCCUGCCCGGUGCUCGAAGGUUAACUGAUGAUGUCAGCGCAAGCGAAGCAUUUGAUUGAAGCCCGAGUAAACGGCGGCCGUAACGGUAACGGUCCUAAGGUAGCGAAAUUCCUUGUCGGUUAAAUACCGACCCGCAUGAAUGGCGUAACGAGAUGGGAGCUGUCUCAACCAGGGAUCCAGUGAAAUUGUAGUGGAGGUGAAAAUUCCUCCUACCCGCGGAAAGACGGAAAGACCCCGUGCACCUUUACUACAGCUUGACACUGUAGCUUGGAUAUUCAUGUGCAGGAUAGGUGGGAGGCUAUGAUAUAUGGACGCAAGUACAUAUGGAGCCAUCCUUGAGAUACCACCCUUGAAUAUUUGAGUUACUAGCUGCGACGAGUCAACCUCGUUCAGGACAAUGUCUGGUGGGUAGUUUGACUGGGGCGGUCGCCUCCUAAAAAGUAACGGAGGCUUACAAAGGUAGUUCAUGGCGGAUGGAAAUCGCCAGUUGUGUAUAAUGGCAUAAACUAGCUUGACUGUGAGACAUACAAGUCGAACAGAGACGAAAGUCGGUCAUAGUGAUCCGGUGGUUCUGUGUGGAAGGGCCAUCGCUCAAAGGAUAAAAGGUACGCCGGGGAUAACAGGCUGAUCUCCCCCAAGAGCUCACAUCGACGGGGAGGUUUGGCACCUCGAUGUCGGCUCAUCGCAUCCUGGGGCUGAAGUAGGUCCCAAGGGUAUGGCUGUUCGCCAUUUAAAGCGGUACGCGAGCUGGGUUCAGAACGUCGUGAGACAGUUCGGUCCCUAUCUUCCGUGGGCGUAGGAAAGUUGAAGAGAUUUGUCCCUAGUACGAGAGGACCGGGAUGAACGUACCACUGGUGUACCAAUUGUUCUGCCAAGAGCAUCGUUGGGUAGCUACGUACGGAUGUU